Molecule: ribosomal RNA, 458 nt
Filed under: Acrostalagmus luteoalbus
Lineage: Eukaryota; Fungi; Ascomycota; Sordariomycetes; Glomerellales; Plectosphaerellaceae
Description: SSU rRNA
Rfam family: Bacterial small subunit ribosomal RNA
Source: RNAcentral
GAAAUAUUAGUAAAAUUUAAUUGAUUAUUCGAAUAAAAUUUUAAGUAUAUAUUAAUAAUGAUAAUAUAUAUAUAACGGUCUUGACUAAUUACGUGCCAGCAGUCGCGGUAAUACGUAAGAGACUAGUGUUAUUCAUUUUAAAUAGGUUUAAAGGGUACCCAGACGGUCAAAACAUCCUAAACCAGGUAAUAUUUGACUAGAGUUUUAUGUAAGGAGACAGUACUUAGAGUGGAGAGAUUAUAUUCUGUGAUACCAAGAGGACUGGUUAAUGCGAAGGCAGUCUUUUAUGUAAAAACUGACGUUGAAGGACGAAGGCAUAGGGCACGAACAGGAUUUGGAACCCCAGUAGUCUUUGCAGACAAUGCUGAAUACCAUAGAUUAGAUAUUAUUUAGUCUAUAAGUGAAAACGAAAGUAUUCCACCUCAAGAGUAAUGUGGCAACGCAGGAACUGAAAUCAC